Molecule: ribosomal RNA, 274 nt
Filed under: uncultured bacterium
Lineage: Bacteria
Description: partial 16S ribosomal RNA
Rfam family: Bacterial small subunit ribosomal RNA
Source: RNAcentral
AUACGGAGGGUGCGAGCGUUAAUCGGAAUUACUGGGCGUAAAGCGCGCGUAGGCGGUUUGUUAAGUCGGAUGUGAAAUCCCCGGGCUCAACCUGGGACCUGCAUCCGAUACUGGCAGGCUAGAGUCUGGUAGAGGGGGGUAGAAUUCCUGGUGUAGCGGUGAAAUGCGUAGAUAUCAGGAGGAAUACCAGUGGCGAAGGCGGCCCCCUGGACUGAGACUGACGCUGAGGUGCGAAAGCGUGGGGAGCAAACAGGAUUAGAUACCCCGGUAGUCC